GAUCAAUGUGUCUCCACCCAAGCCGGUGAGUGUUGCUCCCACCGAAGUCGAAAUUCGGAAUCCACCCUGGGUGGUGCUCAGUUCGUCUUCAGAAAUCUUUAGCAGCUUGGUCGCGAACAACCUUUGAUACAGUUCUGACUGCAUCAGUUUGCGGCAUUGUGCGGCAAGAUGAUUCGCAAGAUCGCGCGAAUAACUUGCGCAGAUAAAUUUAUGUGUCGGCUCAUGCCCAAGUUUAUAGGCAACCCAUGCGACCGAAAGCAGAA
RNAcentral lists this unclassified non-coding RNA (263 nucleotides) under Hevea brasiliensis (rubber tree). Lineage: Eukaryota; Viridiplantae; Streptophyta; Magnoliopsida; Malpighiales; Euphorbiaceae. The record is from RNAcentral.